RNAcentral lists this ribosomal RNA (1739 nucleotides) under Lactobacillus delbrueckii subsp. bulgaricus. RNAcentral describes it as "partial 23S ribosomal RNA". It matches the Rfam family "Bacterial large subunit ribosomal RNA", at positions 475 to 2227 of the family's 2925-position model. The record is from RNAcentral. Lineage: Bacteria; Bacillati; Bacillota; Bacilli; Lactobacillales; Lactobacillaceae.
AACCAGUGACCGAUAGUGAACCAGUACCGUGAGGGAAAGGUGAAAAGAACCCCGGGAGGGGAGUGAAAGAGAACCUGAAACCGUGUGCCUACAAGUAGUCAGAGCCCGUUAACGGGUAAUGGCGUGCCUUUUGUAGAAUGAACCGGCGAGUUGCGUUAGUCAGCAAGGUUAAGUCAGAAAAGACGGAGCCGUAGCGAAAGCGAGUCUGAAGAGGGCGAGCAGUUGGCUGACGCAGACCCGAAACCAAGUGACCUACCCAUGACCAGGUUGAAGGCGCGGUAAAACGCGCUGGAGGACCGAACCCACGUAAGUUGAAAAUUGCGGGGAUGAGUUGUGGGUAGCGGUGAAAUUCCAAACGAACUUGGAGAUAGCUGGUUCUCUCCGAAAUAGCUUUAGGGCUAGCCUCGCAAAGAGGAUGCUGGAGGUAGAGCUCUGUUUGGACUAGGGGCCCGUCAAGGGUUACUGAAUUCAGAUAAACUGCGAAUUCCAGACAUUUAUGUGCGGGAGUCAGACUGCGAGUGAUAAGAUCCGUAGUCGAAAGGGAAACAGCCCAGAUCACCAGUUAAGGUCCCAAAAUUCAUGCUAAGUGGAAAAGGAUGUGGAGUUGCGCAGACAACUAGGACGUUGGCUCAGAAGCAGCCAUCAUUCAAAGAGUGCGUAAUAGCUCACUAGUCGAGUGACGCCGCGCCGAAAAUUUACCGGGGCUAAGCAUGAUACCGAAACUGUGGAUGUGCGUUUAUGCACGUGGUAGGAGAGCGUUCUAGCGGCGGUGAAGCAUGACCGAGAGGACAUGUGGAGCUUCUAGAAGUGAGAAUGCCGGUAUGAGUAACGAAAGACAGGUGAGAAUCCUGUCCGCCGCAAGACUAAGGUUUCCUGGGGCAGGCUCGUCCGCCCAGGGUAAGUCGGGACCUAAGGCGAGGCCGAGAGGCGUAGUCGAUGGACAACAGGUUGAAAUUCCUGUACUGCACCGAAUCGUUAUGAGCGAUGGAGGGACGCAGGAGGCUAGCAGCGCGUGGUGCUGGAUACCACGUUCAAGCGUCAAGUCUGAGAGCGAGUCAAAUGCUUGCUCUCAUAAGGACAAGGCGUGAUGAGGAGCGAAAUUAAAGUAGCGAAGGCUGCGACGUCACACUGCCGAGAAAAGCUUCUAGCCAGAGACGGUGCACCCGUACCGCAAACCGACACAGGUAGUCGAGGAGAGUAUCCUCAGGUGAGCGAGAGAACUCUCGUUAAGGAACUCGGCAAAAUGGCCCCGUAACUUCGGGAGAAGGGGCGCUGGUCGCAAGAUCAGCCGCAGUGAAAAGGCCCAAGCAACUGUUUAUCAAAAACACAGGCAUCUGCAAAAUCGUAAGAUGAAGUAUAGGUGCUGACACCUGCCCGGUGCUGGAAGGUUAAGAGGAGAGCUUAGCGCAAGCGAAGGUUUGAAUUGAAGCCCCAGUAAACGGCGGCCGUAACUAUAACGGUCCUAAGGUAGCGAAAUUCCUUGUCGGGUAAGUUCCGACCUGCACGAAAGGUGUAAUGAUUUGGGCACUGUCUCAACGAGAGACUCGGUGAAAUUAUAAUACCCGUGAAGAUGCGGGUUACCCGCGACAGGACGGAAAGACCCCAUGGAGCUUUACUGCAGUUUAAUAUUGGGUAUCUGUCAAGCAUGUACAGGAUAGGUAGGAGCCGGAGAAGAUAGGACGCCAGUCUUAUCAGAGGCGCUGUUGGGAUACUACCCUUGCUUGACGGAUGCUCUAACU